RNAcentral lists this ribosomal RNA (253 nucleotides) under uncultured bacterium. RNAcentral's name for it is "partial 16S ribosomal RNA". It matches the Rfam family "Bacterial small subunit ribosomal RNA", at positions 524 to 776 of the family's 1533-position model. The record is from RNAcentral.
UACGUAGGGUGCGAGCGUUAAUCGGAAUUACUGGGCGUAAAGCGUGCGCAGGCGGUUUUGCAAGCCGGAUGUGAAAUCCCCGGGCUCAACCUGGGAAUGGCAUUCGGGACUGCAAGGCUGGAGUGCGGCAGAGGAGACUGGAAUUCCUGGUGUAGCAGUGAAAUGCGUAGAUAUCAGGAGGAACACCGGUGGCGAAGGCGGUGGUCUGGGCCGGUACUGACGCUGAGGAGCGAAAGCGUGGGGAGCGAACAGG